Molecule: ribosomal RNA, 440 nt
Filed under: uncultured bacterium
Lineage: Bacteria
Description: partial 16S ribosomal RNA
Rfam family: Bacterial small subunit ribosomal RNA
Source: RNAcentral
CCUACGGGAGGCAGCAGUAGGGAAUAUUGCUCAAUGGGGGAAACCCUGAAGCAGCAACGCCGCGUGGAGGAUGAAGGUUUUCGGAUUGUAAACUCCUUUUGUUAGAGAAGAUAAUGACGGUAUCUAACGAAUAAGCACCGGCUAACUCCGUGCCAGCAGCCGCGGUAAUACGGAGGGUGCAAGCGUUACUCGGAAUCACUGGGCGUAAAGAGCGCGUAGGCGGGAUAGCAAGGCAGAUGUGAAAUCCUAGGGCUUAACCAUAGAACUGCAGUUGAAACUGUUAUUCUAGAGUAUGGGAGAGGUAGGUGGAAUUCUUGGUGUAGGGGUAAAAUCCGUAGAGAUCAAGAGGAAUACUCAUUGCGAAGGCGACCUGCUAGAACAUAACUGACGCUGAUGCGCGAAAGCGUGGGGAGCAAACAGGAUUAGAUACCCGGGUAGUC